Non-coding RNA from Equus caballus (horse), 5387 nucleotides. NCBI's taxonomy places the organism in Eukaryota, Metazoa, Chordata, Mammalia, Perissodactyla, Equidae. The record is from RefSeq and is a predicted model, not a curated record.
GGCGGCUGGCGCCCUGCGCUCGUCGGUGCCGCCUCCGGGCGCGCAGUCCCGGCCUCUCCUCGCAGCACAGAUGUCAGUUAGUGAGAUAGCGGGAGCGGGGGCCGGAGGGUUUGCGGGCUUCCGUCUCGAAGGAAGUCUGGGAGGCUCAGAAUCGCCAGCGUUGUCACCUUAGAGCCAGCCUCGCGGGGCGCCCCCCGUCCCCGUCACUGCUGCCCACGGCCUCGGCAGGAAGGAAUACAAUUUUUUUCAUCUAUAAUUUGGAAGCUAAGUAAAUAACAAAAUGAAGCCAGUAAAGCAUCAGUUGGCAGUUAGUGAUAAAGUGGUAAAUGUUCCAGAAUUAACUAAUAAAAAAGGACGACCUAGUUCACCUUGGUCAUCUAAAUCAAAGCAAAAACGUAAGGCAAAAUUAGUACGUGAUAAACUUGAACCGAUGGUCUUAAGAUCUCCACCAACAGGAGAAUCCAUUUUAAGAUAUGCUUUGCCUAUACCAUCAAGUAAGACAGAUGACUUCAUGUCAGAAGAGGAAUUGAUCAGGAAAAUUACCGAACAUCUGAAGAUGGUUGUUUCUACUUUGGAAGAAGCCUAUGGGUAUAGUAUUCAAAAUGGAGAAACACCAAUUGUGAAGCCUGAACAGGAAGGAUCAACUUUAUCUGUUGGGGAUGAUCUGAGUUCAUUCUUGAUAUGUUGUUCACAAUUUGCAGCUCAGUUAGAAGAAGCAGUUAAGGAAGAACGUAAUAUUUUGGAAUCUCUUUUUAAGUGGUUUCAGCGACAGGUCAAUCAGAUGGAAGAGAUAAGUAAAGAUCAAACUAUUUCAGAAGCAGAGUUGCCAGCAUCUGGCACAACAGUCACUUUAAGCAUUGCACAACUAGUAAGCCAGGUGCAAAAACUUGAAGAACUGAAAAAUCGCCUUAAACAGCAGUCUAAAUACUCCUUAAAAACCAUGUUGUCUAAACCCACAGAUAGUGAAAAGCCAUCAGAUGCAGUACAACGUCACGAACAUGUAAAGCAGAAAAUUGAAGAAUUCAUAAAAACCCACUCAAGUGAAGAAGUUGUAGAUGUUUCUGCAAGUGAGCCACAAACUUCUUAUUCACUGCCUAAUCGAUUGAAUGCCAUGUUGAAAAUAUUUGAAAAACAGUCAAAUAUGUUGACGAGAGCUAUGAAUGAUCAAAGUUUGUUAGAGGCUAAAUAUAAACAGAUGCAAAGUGAUUUCCAAGUGUUAUCAGAAGAGAAAUUGUUGCUGGAAAAUGAACUACAAAAGUUGAAGGAUACGGAGAAAACAAAGCCUACACAUGAUCGAAUAAAGAAAACUGGUAAAAUGGAGAAGAAAAAAGACAGAGGAAAACCUGAGAAUUCAGAAGAGGACAAGCCUGUAGUUCAAGAGCUUAAAACAAAAGAAGAGUUGCUUCAAGUUCAGAAAGUAGCACAUGCUCUGGAAAGUGAGAACAAAAUCCUUCAGGAAAAACUGAAACAAGCUUUACAGGAAGCUGAAAGAGCUAAGCAUCAAGUGGACUAUUUCCUAAAUCAAGGGAAGAAGUUAGUUACAAGUGAGGGGAAGACCAAGACAACAAUGGAAAUGGAUAAUAGUAAAAUAAAAGUUAAAGGUGAAAAUUCAUUGGAGAAAGAAACAGGAAAAGCACUGGUUGCAGAUGCAAAUAGACAAAGGACAAGUGAUAAAAUCCAAGAACAUCAACAGAUCUCAGUUGUCCAAAAUGGAAGUCCUACUGAAAAAAGCUCAGAGAAGAAAAGGGCUAGCCCUGCUAUUUCAGAUCUUUCACAGAUCCUCAAAUCUCAAGAUGGAUCAGCUUUUUCAAAGAAUGCCAAUGAAGUUUUUGCUGAUGAAGACCCAUCCCAUAUACUUUCAUCAAAGACCCAUGAUAAAUCAUUUGCAAGAGUAUUAUCAAGCAGCGAAACUCAAGAUUCACUGCCUUCCAGAACAUCAAUCAAAGAAAUUCAAAAUUCACCUUCUGCCAGAACAUUGCUUCAAGGGAGUGAAACAGUGACAGCACCGUUUAUUUCACCCACUGUUGUUAUUAAAAGAAAGCCAAUGGGUAGUGAUAUCUCAAAGGCUGAUGUUUUAGAAGAGAAAUUACAAAGUAAUAUUGAAAAGCAAACUUCCCAAGAAGCAACAGAAUUUCAAGCUCAUGAUGGAGAAUCAACUGAAAAUCUUAUUCUUGAGAAUGAAGCAGUGUCAAAUACCGACAUGCAAAUGUUGAAAGCAGCUGCUAGAAUGAAGAGACGCAAUGCAUUUCUUAUAAUACAGGAAAAGGAUAGUAUAGCUGUUGAAGAUCAAUUACCUGAAGACAUAGCUUUAGUUUUAAGAAGCCAAUUUCAAGCUAAGAAUUUUGAAGCUACCGGAAAUGAAAGUUCUGAUACCCAUGAUGAAGUACCAGAUGAAAAGCUUAUGCUUGCACAUCAAGAUUCAGUUUCAAAAACCCAAAUGCAAAUAAAGAAACAAGGAACUCCCACAGAGGAAAGAUUCAAUACUGAUGGUAAAGUACCAGAUGAAAAGCUUAUGCAGGAGAAUCAAAAUUUGGUGCCAAAAACACAACUGCAAGUACAGAAACAAAGAACUCUCAGAAGAGAAGAACUCACUACUCAGGAUGAAGUGCCAGAUGAAAAUCGUAUGCUUGAGCACCAGGACUCAAUGUCAGAAUCAGAAAUUCAAAUGAAGAAACAAAGAACUCACAAAAUGGAAAGUCUUACUACUCAUAAUGACAUACCAGACAGAAAUCUUAUGCUUGAGCAUCAAGAUUCAGUGUCAAAACUCCAAAUGCAAGUAAAGAAACAAAUGACUUCCACAGGGGAAGAACACAACACUCUUGAUGAAGUAUCAGAUGAGACUCUUAUGCCCAAACAUCAAGAUUCAGUGUCAACCCAAGUUCAAUUAAAGAAACAAAAAACUUCCAUAGGGGAACUACUCAAUACUCAUUUUGGAGUACCAGACGAAAACCUUAUGAUUGAGCCUCAAGAUUCAGUGUCAAAACUCCAAAAGCCAGUAGAGAAACAAAUAACUUCCAGAAGGGGAAGGCGCCACACUUAUAUGGGAGAACAAGAUGAAAAUCUUAUAUUUUUGAAGCAAGAUUCAGUGUCAAAUCUCCAAAUGCAAGUAAAGAAACAAAUAAUUUCCAGAGGAGAAAGACGCAAUACAUUUCCUCCUGAAAACCAAAAAAAUAAUAUGAUAUCAGUUGAAAAUCUGUUUCCUGAGGAGGAAGUUUUAUUUUCAAGAAACCAAUCUCAAACUAAGAAAUUUGGAGCUACCAGAGAGAAGAAUCUCCAUGUGGAAGAGGUAUUAGAUGAAAAUCUUUUACCGGAGGAUAAAGUAGCAUUGUCAAAAAGCCAAUCUCAAACUAAGAAGCUUGGAGCUGUCAAAAUGGAAACACUAAGUAAUCAGGACGUAGAUGAACUCUCAGGUGGGAAUUUUGCACUUAAAGAUCUAGAACUGGCUACAGGAUAUAAGGAUCAAAUUCAAACAAAUGGGGUUUCCCAAUCUCAAAGAUUAAGAGUUAAAAAUGAAGUGGCUUCAGAACUUCCAGAUACUGCAGAAAAUCUUCCAGCAAUAAAUCCAUCAACUAGUGACCUAAUAUUGCAAUUAGAUUUAAACAAAGUUUUAGAGACUGAUGUAGAAUACUUGAAAGAUGUUAUUGGAAGACGGAUGUUAAUGGGGGAAAUGCAGAUGCAAGCAAAGAGUCUCCCUGAGACUGAUACAAAACACUUCCCAGAUGUCACUGGAAGAGGUACAAUAAAGGAAGAAAUCAAGACACAAUCAAAGAGUCGUUCUGGGAAUAACAUGGAACACUCAAAAGAUACAAUUCGGAGAGGUAUAACAAAGGGAGAACUCAAGACACAACCAACAAAUCUCCCUGAGACUGAUACAAAAUGGUUCUCAGAUAUUAUUGGAAGAGGUAUAAUAAAAGGAGAAAUCAAGACACAAUCAAAGAGUCAUCUUGAGACUGAUAGAGAACGCUUGACAGAUACUGUUGGAAGAGAAAAACUAAUUGGUGAAAUGACACAACUUAAGGGUCGCCCUGAUAUGAAUUUACUUAAAACAAGAUACUUGUCCACAGAAGAUCAAGAUGUUUUUACCAAGUACAUUGGACAAAGUAAAUUCUCAACAAAUGCAGUUAAUUUUUCACCCUUAGACAAUCAAGGUAUUAAUUUAUUUAAAAACAAAAAUAUACUCUCACCUCAACAAGAAGAUUUCUCUACCAGGCACAUCACAGCAAAUAAAUUCCCAACAAACGUGAUCAAUUUGUCACCCUUUGCCCAAAAAGAGGAAACUUCUAAGUCCUUUGCACCCUACAUGAGCGAACUUCCAAAAGCAGUUCAUAGAAGAUCUAGGGCUGAGUCAAGAAUUUAUAAAGCCAUCCCGCUUCCUUCGCCGGAAACUUCAGGGCAUCCAAAAGAUUCAAUCUUAAACAAAAUAAAUGUUAAACAUACAAAUGCUCUGCCUGCUGUGACCUCUAUAGCUAGAAAAUCUAUCUAUAAAGCUUGAAGAACUCCCUUUAGCAUUUCUUGUAAGCUUUUCUUUAAAGUGUCAUAUACUGCUGCCCGAAAAUCUUCUCCCCACCCAUACUUUUGAAAAUGAAUGAAUUCUGGACAACGUAAACAACAUGAGCAAAUUCGUGGAGACAGCAAUGAAAAUUGCAAGUGUGUAAGGCUUAUGAAAAUAACACUGACAUGAGUAGAUGGUGCUCAUUGAACAACAGUGGGAAGUAACCUGGAUACACAGGGUGGGCCCAGAUCAUGGAGGGCCUUAAACAGCAGCACAACUCUUCUUUACUAUCUGGAACAAAUUUGAAACUCUAAGAUCAAAGCCUCUUUGGUGCCGAUAUUAAGAAAGGAGCUCUAUAUUGAAGUUCCAGCUUGCUUCUGUCCAGUAAUGUCCCUGUAAUGCCUUCUGCUGUGGUGUGAAAGCGAUUAAAAGAAACUUGUGCUCUGCAUGUUUUGACAAUGUCAUGAUUAUUUAAGUGUCAUAGUGUUUGCAAAUCUAUUCUAUAGGAUACUAUAGAGAAAAGUCAGCUUCAUACAUUUCUUACACGUCCAGGUAAAGGAACUGAAUUUAGAAAAGAAAAUAUCUUGCUUUAGGCUUUUUCUAUUAAAACUGGAAAUUCAUUGAAAAGAUCAAAACAAAGUUUUUAUUAUUUGUAUAAUAUUUAUUAAACCCAGUGAGACUACAAAUCAUACUACUAGCUCUAGCUGAACUGUGAAAGAUACUCAUAAACUCAAAGAACUUAUUGUGUGUUGGAAUGUUAUUAAUGAAUAUCAAGUUUAAUUGACACUAGUGUUAAAAGCGACAUUGGAAAGAGUAAGAGGAAAAAAAAGAAUAAGAGAAAAAGCUUCUAAAUAUUGAAUGAGUUAGUAAUCCAGUAUCUUUAUGUUGUCAUUCU